AUAUUACUCCCUCCGUCCAACAAAAAGUUUUUCAAGUUUAUCAAAAUUUGAAUGUAUCUAGACAUGACUUAGUGUAUAGAUGCAUUCAAAUUUAAUCAAAAUUGAGACACCAUUUGUUGUACGGAGGGAGUAGCAA
Molecule: non-coding RNA, 136 nt
Organism: Brachypodium distachyon (stiff brome)
Lineage: Eukaryota; Viridiplantae; Streptophyta; Magnoliopsida; Poales; Poaceae
Source: Rfam